GAAGCAUCAGUCGCUGGAGAGCUGAUUCCUUCUGGUGCUCGCACGCCCAUUGGUGAAUUUGAAGACGAAACAGCACCUCGUCUAUCUAGAGCAGACGUGGAUCAGCUUCUAUCUGAUCCUACAAGGUGGGCUAGUAUCAGACUUGGAGGCAACAUGCCGGCUCGAGCAGAGAGGACAAUGAGGAGAAGCGACUGUGAGUUCCAGCUAGUUGGUGAACCAACAGGAGAGUACUACGAGGUUGUUAUGAUCUUUGGAAUCAUAGACAUUCUUCAAGACUAUGACAUCAGCAAGAAACUCGAACACGCUUA
Molecule: non-coding RNA, 308 nt
Organism: Camelina sativa (false flax)
Lineage: Eukaryota; Viridiplantae; Streptophyta; Magnoliopsida; Brassicales; Brassicaceae
Source: RefSeq, a predicted model, not a curated record